Jaculus jaculus (lesser Egyptian jerboa) is the source of this 471-nucleotide long non-coding RNA. RefSeq lists it as uncharacterized. Lineage: Eukaryota; Metazoa; Chordata; Mammalia; Rodentia; Dipodidae. The record is from RefSeq and is a predicted model, not a curated record. The transcript is spliced from 6 exons.
CGUUCUCACCCAACGGAGGCUAUAUAGGGAGCUGCGGGCCGCGAUGCUCGCUCUUUUACGACGGGACGGCGGAGCUGUUUGAGAUUUUGAACAAUGGCGCUGAGGUUUACUGGAUCGGCCGAGACGUUGCGUAGAGAUGCCCAGAUGCAUCACAAAGUCCCAAAGCAUCUGAGAGGAUGUUUAACAGAAAAUUACUUGCUUACCGUCUGCCCAUCUUAACCAGUGAACAGUUUCCGGAUUGCUUAUGAAUAUUGUGCUUAUGAACCCCUGACUGGCCACUUAAUUUUGAAGGUUGUUGCCUGUCCAUUUUGAUAACUAGCUUCACUGUAAAGUCCCUGGAGUGCAAAAAUUUCUGGCCAAGGGUUGAAGACAUACUUCCCUGUUGCAAAACAUCCUGAAAAAGGCAGACGAAAAGAAAAUAGUACAAUUUUGGAUGGUGCUGGUUUAAAAAUAAUAAACUUUGGAAUGAUG